CGGGGGUAGCUCAAUAGGCAGAGCGCUUGGUUUGGGACCAAGAGGUUGCGAGUUCAAAUCUUG
Molecule: transfer RNA, 63 nt
Filed under: Didymium nigripes
Lineage: Eukaryota; Evosea; Eumycetozoa; Physariida; Didymiaceae
Description: partial tRNA-Pro
Rfam family: tRNA
About the family: Transfer RNA (tRNA) molecules are approximately 80 nucleotides in length. Their secondary structure includes four short double-helical elements and three loops (D, anti-codon, and T loops).
Source: RNAcentral